UCAAGGUGAACCAACCCUAGGUAGAUUUUGUUGAGCAAAUCAUCACCUCCCUCUUUGUCAUUUUGGAAGAUGGUUCUGCCAGCAAUCCAUCGUCACUCCCUCUCUUGUCUAUUCCACACAUUCAGUGGUCGUAUUUCACUAGUUAAAUUAUUCAUAAUGUUGAGACAUUUGUUACUUAGGGUAACCCAUAAACAAGCAAGACCGCUUCUCCAAUUGAAUCUCCAGAGGGAAAUACAUAGUCGGAAUAAGAAGACUAUGGAGUUAAUAGCAAAAGGGUGGAAUGUUUAUAUGAAGUUGAUGGAGUCAUUGAUUUUACUGAACCUACAGGCCCACGUCUCCAUCUUCAAUUCAGAAUUACUCAUUUUUACAGUGGAGCUGCUCUACUGGCAGAAGCUGCAUGGGUGAUGCAGAUGCACCAUAUCCAUACAAGUUGGGUGGCUAUUUGAGAAUUGAGGUGGCAUAAUCACCUUAACUCAAAUAUAAACAAAGAGGCAUGGAGUCAGGAAGAGGAGGUCACCUUUAUUCAUGCUCAUCAAAUUUAUGGGAACAAAAGGGCCGAGUUAACAGAGUUCUUAACGGGAAGGAGAGAUAAUAUGAUAAAAAAUCAUUGGAACAGUUCUGAGAAAAAGAUAUUAGAUUCUUACUUGGCAUCAAGUCUACUAGCUCAGUUUCAAGGUCUGCCUCAGGUGGGCAAUCCGAAUCAAUCCCCUUUCUUCUUCGAGAGCACAAAAUAGUGGCAGAGAUGAAAUGGAAGAGAUAUCAGAAUGUAGCCAACCUUCAACUGCUCACGCGUGUUUCCAAACUGGACAAUAACACGGAGAAUAGCUGUAUUCCAGUACAUUCACAGGAUGCCUUUAGUUUGGUCUCAUAGAAUUGCAAACUUCAAGUCAGUCAUGUUCCCAGCAUACAGCUUUAGAAGAAGUGCAUGUGCUGGCCGAGGAAUACCUUGUGGUCAAGCUACGUCUGUUAAGUCCCCUAGGCAUAAUUGUAUGUGACACUGGGAGUUCUGAUUUUUUUUCUACUGGUGCCCUCUGCUUUUUUUUGAACCAUCUAGACAUUGUACAGUGGGGGCUGAGGCAAUCCAUGAAACAGGAUUGUUGACGUUAGGAGGAAGUUCGAUGCAGCAUAAUGUGGUUAGGGCUGAUGACCAGGAGCAGGCAUCUAUGUCUCAAAAUGACCAUUCUGGUGUCUCAAAAUGACCAUUCUUGACGGAACAUAAUGUGGAUGUUUUUCUUCAGUAAAUGGACUCUCCAAUAACCAAUCUGAAAGUCAAAGCUCUGAAACUGCUAGAAGUUUAGCUCGCAACCAUAUUAUCCACUAAGAUCCUCUGACAUGUUAGCAACAUACUGCGGUGAACCUUUAAUGAAUUACUCAAGUCUACUUUGCGCCAGUGAAGGAAAGCUCGGUUUUGGUAACAAAUGUAAUGGAAUGAAAGGCAUGUCAACCUGAGGUCUUUACGAGCUCCUGUGAUGGUCAUCUAUCCUGAGGCUGGCUAUGGUAAUUCUCCCUGUAAUGAUGAUAUAGAGAAAGAUUGCCUGCCUUUGAACCCCAACUGGGUUAAAGAUGCUUCAAAACCAGUUCCUGCUGAUAUAUUUGCUUCAUUGAACCUAAAGGUGUUGAAACACAUUCAAACGUGGAUAAAAGCAGAAAACAUGAUGUUUAGAAUCGGGAUCAGGGAAUUUUGUUUUACGAACCACCUCACUUUUUCCAAGCCUGGAUCUUCCAUGCUUAGCUUCGAUCUUAUGCAAUCUGGGGGUGAUUUACAACAGGCAUAUAGCCCCCUUGGUAUCCGCCAGUCUUCCAUGAACUGCUACUCUCCAUACAGGCUAUUCGAUUCACCAUCUCGAGAUGAUAGUCCCGACAGAGUUUUGAAGAAUGCUGCUACAAGCUUUCAAGGCACACCUUCCAUUCUGAAGAACGUCCGCGUGAAUUCUUUUCACCUUUACAGGAUAGAGAAUGUGGGGAAAAACACGAGGGGGAUAAAAAUCAAAGACAGUUUUGCUCAUCCACAAUGAACAGCAGUGUAUUUCCUAAUCUAGAUGUUGUUUAUGAUGAAAAUGCAGUGGACAAAAUUUCGUUAUCAGCUAUCAUGAGUGUUCUCUUUUCUCCACCAAAUUACCAGAAAAAUCAUCUGGGUGCCUCCGCUUCUGACAAAGAAAAUGUGGAUCAUGGUGGGAUCUCUUCAUCAGAUGGUAGGAGUUUGGAGAAUGUGUCUAAAACAGGGCCUCGAAGAAAUGGGGCGUGCUGGUGCAGGCAUAGCGUAUGGAUCACUUCUUCUAAAAGGAGCAUCUGGAUACGUGUAUGGACAUAACCUACUCCAGAAUCCAGUUGACCAUUUAGUCACUGGCAUUAGGUGGGGUUCCAUUGGGUAACUUUAUAAGUCGGACAGCAAAAUUGGGCUCCCCAAAACCUCAGAAAAUAUAUUUCUCAUUUAGAUCGUUAGAAUCAUCAAAUACAAUUCAAGUUUCAAUUUUAAGGUGUAUUCCCAACUGUGCAUGGACUAUCCUAAUUCUCCCACUAAGAUUAUGACUGUACUAUGUGAUUGUUGUGUUGUUAGAUGCCAAAGUACCAGAAGCUAUAACAGAGUACAAUGCAAGAAGUAAUCCCUCCAAAAUAAUGCAGAAGAACGUGACUGUUCCUGACGAGAACCCUAUGGAGUUGGCAAAGGAAAAAUUGAAAUCUCCGUGAAAACUGGAUCUGAUCUUGGGCCUUGGGGUGAAAUGGUAGAAAAUACUCAGAUGAAGAGAAGCUUAAAGCAGCGAUGUACAUAUUUACUGUUUCACUUAGAUUUCUGGAUGGCAUUCUGAUUCAGAAACAUGAGACAGAAUAAAAAUUUGUGUUUUACAAUUUUUAUACUACAUGUAAAGAUUACACUUCCUGAGUCCUGACAUGGACAGCAAAUCCUCUA
Long non-coding RNA from Papaver somniferum (opium poppy), 2908 nucleotides. RefSeq lists it as uncharacterized. The transcript is spliced from 6 exons. The record is from RefSeq and is a predicted model, not a curated record. NCBI's taxonomy places the organism in Eukaryota, Viridiplantae, Streptophyta, Magnoliopsida, Ranunculales, Papaveraceae.